RNAcentral lists this long non-coding RNA (831 nucleotides) under Trifolium pratense (red clover). Its description in RNAcentral is "long non-coding RNA (TPRA_LNC007233)". Lineage: Eukaryota; Viridiplantae; Streptophyta; Magnoliopsida; Fabales; Fabaceae. The record is from RNAcentral.
AAUUCUGUUUUUCUGAAAAACGUUUGGAAAAUUUGGGAAUCUGAUCUUGGGAGUUCCAGGCACGAUUCGAAGACUGAUCCUGUGUUCCAGAGGCUAAAGGUGGCUAGAUUGGAAGCAUUCAACAUCAUGGGAGUGGAUUCCUUGAAGUUGGAGCAAGAAUUGAGCUACUUCACGAUGAGAGGCUAGACCUCCAUUGAGGUUGGAUCAUGAUGAGGAACUAAACUAAUGUAUUCAAUGUAAUCAAUUGUAUCUGUAUUGAAUCUCUCUCUUAUGAAUGUUAUUCAAUGAAAUUCUAUCCUUAAUGCUUUACAAUUUCUGAUCAAUCUUGCAAUGAACUUAGAUUUUAAUUAUGUACGAGAGUAUGAGUUGAAAUCAGAACUGAAUUCAUUGUGCAUGUGAGUGUUUCCGGUCGAUAGAUUGAAACAUAGAAUGUAGCAUACGAUCAACUCGUUUUCAAAUACUCCGCUAACGGUAGCUUCCAUCCAAGAGAUUGGAGAAGUAUCGGUAGAGGAUAGGGUGGAUUUUGACAAGAGAUUGCGAUUCACCAUAUUGUUGAUCUAGUUGUAACAUUCGAGUGAUUCAUUACGAUACAAUUGAAUUGCAUGUGAAUACUAUUGUUUAGAGAAUUGUCGACGAUCCAACCUCAUUCUUAAUCAAUUGAUUUCUCAACAUUUUCGUACAAAUACAUCAUUCAAACCAAACCCCCAAUUUAUGUGUAUUCUUUGCAUCAUGUUUAUGAACACUAUUAGACUCGUUUAAUCACACAAUCCCUGUGGAUCGAUAUUUUUAUUACUACGUGGUAAUUCGUUCACUUGCGAAAAUUAUCCAUCA